Molecule: transfer RNA, 69 nt
Filed under: Mystacina tuberculata (New Zealand lesser short-tailed bat)
Lineage: Eukaryota; Metazoa; Chordata; Mammalia; Chiroptera; Mystacinidae
Description: tRNA-Gly
Rfam family: tRNA
About the family: Transfer RNA (tRNA) molecules are approximately 80 nucleotides in length. Their secondary structure includes four short double-helical elements and three loops (D, anti-codon, and T loops).
Source: RNAcentral
AUUCUUUUAGUAUUAAUUAGUACGGUUGACUUCCAAUCAAUUAGUUUCGGUCAAGUCCGAAAAAGAAUA